AGUAACGCGUGAGGAACCUGCCUUCCAGAGGGGGACAACAGUUGGAAACGACUGCUAAUACCGCAUGACACAUGACCGUGGCAUCACGGACAUGUCAAAGAUUUAUCGCUGGAAGAUGGCCUCGCGUCUGAUUAGCUAGUAGGCGGGGUAACGGCCCACCUAGGCGACGAUCAGUAGCCGGACUGAGAGGUUGACCGGCUACAUUGGGACUGAGAUACGGCCCAGACUCCUACGGAAGGCAGCAG
RNAcentral lists this ribosomal RNA (245 nucleotides) under uncultured bacterium. RNAcentral's name for it is "partial 16S ribosomal RNA". It matches the Rfam family "Bacterial small subunit ribosomal RNA", at positions 109 to 354 of the family's 1533-position model. The record is from RNAcentral.